Molecule: long non-coding RNA, 390 nt
Organism: Drosophila gunungcola (fruit fly)
Lineage: Eukaryota; Metazoa; Arthropoda; Insecta; Diptera; Drosophilidae
Exons: 2
Source: RefSeq, a predicted model, not a curated record
AUCUUCACGCACAUGACUUAUUGGUAUAAACGGACAACCACUGGAACACGUCUGUUCAAAUUACGUUUUUAUAUCAAUAUAAUUUCUGUUACACACUUUAACACAAAAGUCAAAAAAAAAAUGUCCUCUCAUGUUUUUAUAGAAGAUAAAAUGGGUAGACGUUUGGACCGUUGUGUUUCAGACGCGUUAAUUAAAGGAUGUGGGGGCCUCGUCAUUGGAUCUGCCGUAUCUCUACUAUUUUUAAAAAGAGGAGCGUGGCCUGCAUGGAUUGGGGCUGGAUUUGGAAUCGGCGUCGCAUAUAGAACAUGUGAAAAGAACUUAAAUUCUUUUAAGUGAAUAAAUCUUUGUCGCUUAUAAAUAAAAAUAAACCAUUUACAUAGCAACAAAAAA